UAAUUGUAGCCCCCUUGGAAUACAUUGUUGCCAGAUUUCAGCUGAUUUGAAGCGUUAUUAUAGAAAGAAUGAGAGAGAAAAUGAUGAAGAUAUUAUAUAUUUACCGAGUUAUUUAAAAUAUAUACACCCCACCACUUCACUUCUCACUUUUAACAGUUACUACCUGUUUAUGAUUUGACACCUGACAACAUUAGAUACUAGCAACGCUGUAUUCCAAGGGGGCUACAAUUAGCCGCUUCUGCAGGGACUGCGUGUUCACUGGUAUUCCCUAUCAUUCAAGAAUACUAUUUUUUUCCGCUGGGGAUCGUGCACCCAUGAUUCGGCAAAUAGCAAUAUUCAAUGAACCAAAUAGUAUGUAGUCUGUGCAAUGAACAGAAAAUAUCGGGAACAGCAGUAACAGGCGCCUCCGAUAUUUUCUUUAAUGUGACCCAUAGAAAUUCUGAACUGUUCCUUGUCCUUGAACCUUGAUCUUUUUCGACCAAUAGCAGUGCAUUUGUUGCAUCUGCCCAGUGGAGUAGUGGACGAACUACAUUUAAAUUUGUAUAGGAGCUCUUUACCUAAAUUAUUAUACCUUAAGUAUUAAAUGGCCAAUUUUCAUUUAAGCGAUAAGAUGAAUUGUAAUCAGUGAUUAGCAUGAAAAU
Dendroctonus ponderosae (mountain pine beetle) is the source of this 641-nucleotide long non-coding RNA. RefSeq lists it as uncharacterized. The transcript has 2 exons. NCBI's taxonomy places the organism in Eukaryota, Metazoa, Arthropoda, Insecta, Coleoptera, Curculionidae. The record is from RefSeq and is a predicted model, not a curated record.